Molecule: ribosomal RNA, 496 nt
Filed under: uncultured bacterium
Lineage: Bacteria
Description: partial 16S ribosomal RNA
Rfam family: Bacterial small subunit ribosomal RNA
Source: RNAcentral
ACGAACGCUGGCGGCGUGCCUAAUACAUGCAAGUUGAGCGCUGAAGGUUGGUACUUGUACCAACUGGAUGAGCAGCGAACGGGUGAGUAACGCGUGGGGAAUCUGCCCUUGAGCGGGGGACAACAUUUGGAAACGAAUGCUAAUACCGCAUAAAAACUUUAAACACAAGUUUUAAGUUUGAAAGAUGCAAUUGCAUCACUCAAAGAUGAUCCCGCGUUGUAUUAGCUAGUUGGUGAGGUAAAGGCUCACCAAGGCGAUGAUACAUAGCCGACCUGAGAGGGUGAUCGGCCACAUUGGGACUGAGACACGGCCCAAACUCCUACGGGAGGCAGCAGUAGGGAAUCUUCGGCAAUGGACGAAAGUCUGACCGAGCAACGCCGCGUGAGUGAAGAAGGUUUUCGGAUCGUAAAACUCUGUUGGUAGAGAAGAACGUUGGUGAGAGUGGAAAGCUCAUCAAGUGACGGUAACUACCCAGAAAGGGACGGCUAACUACGUG